Long non-coding RNA from Papaver somniferum (opium poppy), 786 nucleotides. RefSeq lists it as uncharacterized. NCBI's taxonomy places the organism in Eukaryota, Viridiplantae, Streptophyta, Magnoliopsida, Ranunculales, Papaveraceae. The transcript is spliced from 2 exons. The record is from RefSeq and is a predicted model, not a curated record.
UUCUCUUUCUUCUUCUUCUUCUUCUUCUUCUUCUUCUCUUUCUUUCUUCAAUGUUUUUCGUUUGUUGACGAUUUUGAGAAUCAGUUCCUGAUUCUGAGUUGAUUUAAAGCUUGUAGAGAUCGAAGGUUAAUUGAUGGUGGUAGUUUUGAUAGAUCCGAUGAAAUCAAACCCAACAUAAAAGGGGGAGAAGCUGAGCUUAAUUGAACUGGUAGUUGCAGUGGCAGUUGGAAGUAUGAGAUGAUGAUGCAGUUGCAGAGUGGAGAAUCUGUUUUGGUUGUGUAUAGUAAUUGAAGUUAAAGUUGUAGCUAAUGAAUAAAGGCAGAUGAUAAGUGGUGAUCUUGUUGAAAAAUAUAGUCUGGUGGUGUAUUUGAAUGGUUAUGUGUGUGUGUGUUAGAAAUGAAGAUACUAUGGAUUGAUCAAUACAAGGAUUUAGAGAUAAAGAUGUUGAUUAUGCAUGAUGUAUGGUUAGGUUGUUAUGGUGGUUUGAGUGAACUGUUCAAAUGAAUCCUAGUGAUGUUGUUGUUGGUAUUGUGAAAUGCAAGGUGAAUGUAAAUAAACUAGGAAUGGAUAUGUAUGAAUUUGUUGAGAGGAUCUGGAACUGUGAGUGUUAGUGGUUCAGGUUGGAUGGCAAUGUGUUUGGGUUGAAGCUUGGAGAGAUGAGUUAGGAGAUGUGUGAUUCUGAUGUAGGUAUAAACUACGGUAAGAGCUGUAAUGUUGUGUAAGAUAAAGGAUGAGAGUUUGUUCGUAUUGAAGUGAAGUUAAGAUAGUAGAGUUACUGAUUUGUUA